GAAUGAGAGGGCCAUCUGGCUGGAGCAUCUGUUACUGAACUGGUUGCCAGGAUAGUUUCCACUGAUCUGACUGGCUAAGUGGGUGUUCCUUUUCUCCUUAUAUCCGUCCCUCCCUAAGCCUACCGGUGCAAUGGAGUCUUCCUUUUCUUUGGGCAAGGUUAUCUGAGUCCUGAUGCUUGCUUGCUGGAACCUCAAAACAAGUUCUUUUCUCACGAGGGACCACCACAAUAAUGCAUUUUCUGCCUCUUUUGUAAGUAUUGUGAAAAUCAAAUGGAAUAAUAGAUUUGGAACUGUAAACCUCUAUGUAAGUGAAAAGAAAGAUAAUGU
This is an unclassified non-coding RNA of Nomascus leucogenys (northern white-cheeked gibbon), 327 nucleotides long. Its record names the gene 7SK. It matches the Rfam family "7SK RNA". Rfam says of the family: 7SK was discovered as an abundant small nuclear RNA in the mid-70s but a possible function has only recently been suggested. Two independent studies have found that 7SK RNA binds the CDK9/cyclin T complex (known as elongation factor P-TEFb). Lineage: Eukaryota; Metazoa; Chordata; Mammalia; Primates; Hylobatidae. The record is from Ensembl.